This 383-nucleotide ribosomal RNA is filed under the name uncultured eukaryote. RNAcentral describes it as "partial 18S ribosomal RNA". It matches the Rfam family "Eukaryotic small subunit ribosomal RNA", at positions 592 to 976 of the family's 1831-position model. The record is from RNAcentral.
CAAUAGCGUAUAUUAAAGUUGUUGCAGUUAAAAAGCUCGUAGUUGGAUUUCUGGUGGGAGCGAUCGGUCUGGCGCUUAGCGCGAGUACUUGCAUCGUCUCCGGCCAUCCUUGGGGAGAGUCUGUCUGGCAUUAAGUUGUCGGGCAGAGGAUCCUCAUCGUUUACUGUGAAAAAAUUAGAGUGUUCAAAGCAGGCUUAUGCCGUUGAAUAUAUUAGCAUGGAAUAAUAAGAUAGGACUUUGGUACUAUUUUGUUGGUUUGCGCACCAAAGUAAUGAUUAAUAGGGACAGUUGGAGGUAUUCGUAUUCCGUUGUCAGAGGUGAAAUUCUUGGAUUUACGGAAGACGAACUACUGCGAAAGCAUUUACCAAGGAUGUUUUCAUUAA